UUAAUGAGAGUUUGAUCCUGGCUCAGGACGAACGCUGGCGGCGUGCCUAAUACAUGCAAGUAGAACGCUGAUGUUUGGUGUUUACACUAGACUGAUGAGUUGCGAACGGGUGAGUAACGCGUAGGUAACCUGCCUCAUAGCGGGGGAUAACUAUUGGAAACGAUAGCUAAUACCGCAUAAGAGUGAUUAACACAUGUUAGUUAUUUAAAAGGAGCAAUUGCUUCACUGUGAGAUGGACCUGCGUUGUAUUAGCUAGUUGGUGAGGUAAAGGCUCACCAAGGCGACGAUACAUAGCCGACCUGAGAGGGUGAUCGGCCACACUGGGACUGAGACACGGCCCAGACUCCUACGGGAGGCAGCAGUAGGGAAUCUUCGGCAAUGGACGGAAGUCUGACCGAGCAACGCCGCGUGAGUGAAGAAGGUUUUCGGAUCGUAAAGCUCUGUUGUUAGAGAAGAACGUUGGUAGGAGUGGAAAAUCUACCAAGUGACGGUAACUAACCAGAAAGGGACGGCUAACUACGUGCCA
This 526-nucleotide ribosomal RNA is filed under the name Streptococcus agalactiae. Its description in RNAcentral is "bacterial SSU rRNA". It matches the Rfam family "Bacterial small subunit ribosomal RNA", at positions 1 to 510 of the family's 1533-position model. The record is from RNAcentral. Lineage: Bacteria; Bacillati; Bacillota; Bacilli; Lactobacillales; Streptococcaceae.